GGUCCGAGUUGUAAUUUGCAGAGGAUGCUUCGGGUGCGGUCCCCGUCUAAGUGCCCUGGAACGGGCCGUCAUAGAGGGUGAGAAUCCCGUCUGGGAUGGGCGGCCGCGCCCGUGUGAAGCUCCUUCGACGAGUCCAGUUGUUUGGGAAUGCAGCUCUAAGCGGGUGGUAAAUUUCAUCUAAAGCUAAAUACUGGCCGGAGACCGAUAGCGCACAAGUAGAGUGAUCGAAAGAUGAAAAGCACUUUGAAAAGAGAGUUAAACAGCACGUGAAAUUGUUGAAAGGGAAGCGUUGUCCACCAGACUCGCCCGGGGGGGUUCAGCCGGCACGUGUGCCGGUGUACUCCUCUCCGGGCGGGCCAGCAUCGGUUUGGGCGGCUGGUGAAAGGCCCCGGGAAUGUAACACCCUCCGGGGUGCCUUAUAGCCCGGGGUGCCNUACANCCAGCCUGGACCGAGGCCCGCGCUUCNGCGAGGAUGCUGGCGUAAUGGUGGUCAACGG
Molecule: ribosomal RNA, 497 nt
Filed under: soil fungal sp. DM2-194
Lineage: Eukaryota; Fungi
Description: eukaryotic LSU rRNA
Rfam family: Eukaryotic large subunit ribosomal RNA
Source: RNAcentral